This 557-nucleotide ribosomal RNA is filed under the name uncultured Novosphingobium sp. Its description in RNAcentral is "bacterial SSU rRNA". It matches the Rfam family "Bacterial small subunit ribosomal RNA", at positions 102 to 694 of the family's 1533-position model. The record is from RNAcentral. Lineage: Bacteria; Pseudomonadati; Pseudomonadota; Alphaproteobacteria; Sphingomonadales; Sphingomonadaceae.
ACGGGUGCGUAACGCGUGGGAAUCUGCCCUUGGGUUCGGAAUAACAGUUAGAAAUGACUGCUAAUACCGGAUGAUGUCUUCGGACCAAAGAUUUAUCGCCCAAGGAUGAGCCCGCGUAAGAUUAGCUAGUUGGUGGGGUAAUGGCCCACCAAGGCGACGAUCUUUAGCUGGUCUGAGAGGAUGAUCAGCCACACUGGGACUGAGACACGGCCCAGACUCCUACGGGAGGCAGCAGUGGGGAAUAUUGGACAAUGGGCGAAAGCCUGAUCCAGCAAUGCCGCGUGAGUGAUGAAUGCCUUAGGGUUGUAAAGCUCUUUUACCAGGGAUGAUAAUGACAGUACCUGGAGAAUAAGCUCCGGCUAACACCGUGCCAGCAGCCGCGGUAAUACGGAGGGAGCUAGCGUUGUUCGGAAUUACUGGGCGUAAAGCGUACGUAGGCGGUUAUUCAAGUCAGAGGUGAAAGCCCGGGGCUCAACCCCGGAACGGCCUUUGAAACUAGAUAGCUAGAGUCUUGGAGAGGUUAGUGGAAUUCCGAGUGUAGAGGUGAAAUUCGUAGA